This 465-nucleotide ribosomal RNA is filed under the name Enterococcus casseliflavus. RNAcentral describes it as "bacterial SSU rRNA". It matches the Rfam family "Bacterial small subunit ribosomal RNA", at positions 28 to 470 of the family's 1533-position model. The record is from RNAcentral. Lineage: Bacteria; Bacillati; Bacillota; Bacilli; Lactobacillales; Enterococcaceae.
GACGAACGCUGGCGGCGUGCCUAAUACAUGCAAGUCGAACGCUUUUUCUUUCACCGGAGCUUGCUCCACCGAAAGAAAAAGAGUGGCGAACGGGUGAGUAACACGUGGGUAACCUGCCCAUCAGAAGGGGAUAACACUUGGAAACAGGUGCUAAUACCGUAUAACACUAUUUUCCGCAUGGAAGAAAGUUGAAAGGCGCUUUUGCGUCACUGAUGGAUGGACCCGCGGUGCAUAGCUAGUUGGUGAGGUAACGGCUCACCAAGGCAACGAUGCAUAGCCGACCUGAGAGGGUGAUCGGCCACACUGGGACUGAGACACGGCCCAGACUCCUACGGGAGGCAGCAGUAGGGAAUCUUCGGCAAUGGACGAAAGUCUGACCGAGCAACGCCGCGUGAGUGAAGAAGGUUUUCGGAUCGUAAAACUCUGUUGUUAGAGAAGAACAAGGAUGAGAGUAAAACGUUCAUC